UACAACUUCUCAGGGGCUCACUUCGGCUGCAAACAAGCAAACGUGGAGAGACAGUUUGUGAACCUUCAUCUAGACUGUGAUCUACUAGCAAUAUGACUAAACCUGUGGUCCAGCAAAGUGUGGUCCAUGGACCAGUUUGAUCCACAAACUGCUUGUUACUGGUUCAUGACAAGGCUGCCUGUCUCCCUAUCUGAGCACUCCUGUGUCCUGGAUUCUCCCCUAACUGAGGCUUCUUCAAGCUGCUGGGGCCCUUCUGACUCUGCAUUAAAGUGCUCCGAUGGCAACUGCUGUGUAAGCCCCCAUCUGCCCCCUGCUACUGCUCCUCAGGGUGCCAUACUCUGCCCGCUUAGCUGGACUUUCUUCAAGCAC
Molecule: long non-coding RNA, 369 nt
Organism: Lemur catta (Ring-tailed lemur)
Lineage: Eukaryota; Metazoa; Chordata; Mammalia; Primates; Lemuridae
Exons: 3
Source: RefSeq, a predicted model, not a curated record